CUGGUUUCCUCUUCCGGUUCUGCAGUCAAGUUUACCUCUGCUGCCUCAUAUGCUAUGUGCUCCAAACCGCGAGUAAAACUGCUGCCAUCCACGGGAGCUCCGUGAGAUCGGACGAUUUCCGCCGACCUGGCGAGGGUAAAUGGUGAAACUGCUCCUAGCUUGAUAACUCGGUCAGGUUUUUUGUUUUGUUUUUUUCCCCUGUGACAUCAGUAAAUGACGUCCCAUCCACAUCCCACCGUCCAGUGGAGAGCUGCCAGCUGGGUUUUCGUGUGAAGUUUCAGAGAUCCCGAGAUACCCAGCGUGAGCUGGGUGGCGAGCCGCAUCGAAACGACUGAUACUGAACUCAGAGUGGAGAAGGAUUCUUUCAUUCCCCCUUCCUCACGGACUGUGUGGUUGGACAGAACAAACAUACACUGAUACACUUGACACGGAGCCGAAGGAAAAGAAGGGCCCCAACAGUAACUUUGGGACACAAAGGGUUUUAUUUUGUUAUUAGUUAUUUUUCAUUGAAUGCCUUGCAACUAUCUGUAUUUUCAUUGUGUUAUUGGUUAUUAAUAACAAGUGGCCACACAAAAAACUCAAACCAUUGUCUGUGUCUUUUAACUUCACCAACAACAAGGGCUCUAAGUAGCUUAUAGUCUUCAAUUACUGGUCCAUGUCUUAGCAUUGACUAUUACUUACCUGUGCUGUUAUAACAUGGUAAUAAGGGUUACAUAAAGAACAAACGGAAACGUGUCUCCUGCCUUGAGUAAAGUGAACUGUGUGCCUUAAAGGUGACCUUGGUUGAAACUUACUUCCUGGGGUGAAAUCCCCCAGGUGGCGUUGUCGUUUGUGUUGGUCUUUCACAUAAAAUGCCAAUAAAAUAUAUUUAUGUUUGUGGCCGGAAUGUGACAAAAUGUGGAAAAGUUCAAGGUGUAUGAAUACUUUUUCAAGCCUCUGUAUCAGCAAAAAUCUGUCAGUAUUCAUGUGAUGUCAGUGGAUUUCACACCUUCGUUCUGGCCUCUUCUCUUCACAGAGAUGACCUGGCAGAGGUGCACCUGAAGCCAGAAAUCCCUCAAAACGCCUCCGUGUGUGUUGUUUGCUCUACUAAUAGUACAUUUCAAUCUAAAUAUGCCAACAACUCCAACAAGGCAGGUGAUGCUUCCAGCUGUCUUCACCAACUGCUUGUUGUCUGCACUCGUCCUUCUGAGCAACCAACUGUCUGUCCAGCUGUCACCAUUAUUUCAUGACCAUCUCACAGUCUGUCGCUACUUAAUACUGAACAUUUACUUAUUACAAUUAUCAUGUGAAGAGUAGCUAACAGUCUGAAAGAGAAAUAGAUUUUAAAAUGGGAAAAUUUAACUGUAUCAAGGUCUUAGUGUAUUAUUCAACAUAAUAUUAAAUGGCAAAGUUCAAUA
Molecule: long non-coding RNA, 1397 nt
Organism: Chelmon rostratus (copperband butterflyfish)
Lineage: Eukaryota; Metazoa; Chordata; Actinopteri; Chaetodontiformes; Chaetodontidae
Exons: 3
Source: RefSeq, a predicted model, not a curated record